CAGCCGGGUAAUUCCAGCUCCAAUAGCGUAUAUUAGUGUUGUUGCGGUUAAAAAGCUCGUAGUUGAAUUUCGGGAUUGGGAUAUAUCGGUCAUGCCUUUAGGGGCAUGAAUCGGUGUGUAGCCAAUUUCUCACCUUCUGGUGAAUUGGGAUGCUCUUGGGUGUUUCAAUGAACUAGGACUUUUACUUUGAAAAAAAUAUAGUGUUUAAAGCGGGCAUUUUUGCUUGAAUACAUUAGCAUGGAAUAAUAAAAUAGGACGAUGGUUCUAUUUUGUUGGUUUUAGGACCACGUAAUGAUUAAUAGGGAUAGUUGGGGGCAUUAGUAUUCAAUAGUCAGAGGUGAAAUUCUUGGAUUUAUUGAGGACUAACUACUGCGAAAGCAUUUGCCAAGGAUGUUUUCAUUAAUCAAGAACGAAAGUUAGGGGAUCGAAGACGAUUUAUGUACGUCGUAGUCUUAACCAUAAACUAUGCCGACUAGGAAUCAGACAAAGUUCAUUUUUUAACGACUUGUUUGGUACCUUACG
This 522-nucleotide unclassified non-coding RNA is filed under the name uncultured Glomeromycotina. RNAcentral describes it as "SSU rRNA". It matches the Rfam family "Eukaryotic small subunit ribosomal RNA", at positions 571 to 1092 of the family's 1831-position model. Lineage: Eukaryota; Fungi; Glomeromycota. The record is from RNAcentral.